GGGGAAUAUUGCGCAAUGGGGGCAACCCUGACGCAGCAACGCCGCGUGCAGGAAGAAGGUCUUCGGAUUGUAAACUGUUGUCGCAAGGGAAGAAGACAGUGACGGUACCUUGUGAGAAAGUCACGGCUAACUACGUGCCAGCAGCCGCGGUAAUACGUAGGUGACAAGCGUUGUCCGGAUUUACUGGGUGUAAAGGGCGCGUAGGCGGACUGUCAAGUCAGUCGUGAAAUACCGGGGCUUAACCCCGGGGCUGCGAUUGAAACUGACAGCCUUGAGUAUCGGAGAGGAAAGCGGAAUUCCUAGUGUAGCGGUGAAAUGCGUAGAUAUUAGGAGGAACACCAGUGGCGAAGGCGGCUUUCUGGACGACAACUGACGCUGAGGCGCGAAAGUGUGGGGAGCAAACAGGAUUAGAUACCCUGGUAGUCCACACCGUAAACGAUGGAUACUAGGUGUAGGAGGUAUCGACCCCUUCUGUGCCGCAGUUAACACAAUAAGUAUCCCACCUGGGGAGUACGACCGCAAGGUUGAAACUCAAAGGAAUUGACGGGGGCCCGCACAAGCAGUGGAGUAUGUGGUUUAAUUCGAAGCAACGCGAAGAACCUUACCUGGGCUUGACAUCCCUGGAAUCGAGUAGAGAUACUUGAGUGCCUUCGGGAAUCAGGUGACAGGUGGUGCAUGGUUGUCGUCAGCUCGUGUCGUGAGAUGUUGGGUUAAGUCCCGCAACGAGCGCAACCCCUAUUGUCAGUUGCCAUCAUUAAGUUGGGCACUCUGGCGAGACUGCCGGUGACAAAUCGGAGGAAGGUGGGGACGACGUCAAAUCAUCAUGCCCCUUAUGCCCAGGGCUACACACGUACUACAAUGGCCGAUAACAAAGUGCAGCGAAACCGUGAGGUGGAGCGAAUCACAAAACUCGGUCUCAGUUCAGAUUGCAGGCUGCAACUCGCCUGCAUGAAGUUGGAAUUGCUAGUAAUCGCGGAUCAGCAUGCCGCGGUGAAUACGUUCCCG
Molecule: ribosomal RNA, 1005 nt
Filed under: uncultured bacterium
Lineage: Bacteria
Description: bacterial SSU rRNA
Rfam family: Bacterial small subunit ribosomal RNA
Source: RNAcentral